CCCCUAGACGUUCUGGGCUGCACGCGCGCUACAAUAAUACGCACAGCGAGUAUCACCGAGCUCGAAAGGGCAAGGUAAACAAUAGAAAAGGUACUGUAAUGGUUAUAGAUCCUUGUAAUUAUUGAUCUUCAACGAGGAAUUCCUAGUAAGUAUGUGUCAUCAUCACGCACUGAUUACGUCCCUGCCCUUUGUACACACCGCCCGUCGCUCCUACCGAUUGGGUGUGCUGGUGAAAUGUUCGGAUCGGCCGUUUGUCGCGGUUUCCGCGGCUCGUGGCUGAGAAGUUCAUUAAACCCUCCCACCUAGAGGAAGGAGAAGUCGUAACA
RNAcentral lists this ribosomal RNA (326 nucleotides) under uncultured eukaryote. Its description in RNAcentral is "partial 18S ribosomal RNA". It matches the Rfam family "Eukaryotic small subunit ribosomal RNA", at positions 1470 to 1796 of the family's 1831-position model. The record is from RNAcentral.